UGGCGGCGUGCUUAACACAUGCAAGUCGAACGAAGCACUUAUAAUUAAAUCUUCGGAAGCGAUUUUAAGUGACUUAGUGGCGGACGGGUGAGUAACGCGUGGGUAACCUGCCCUAUACAGGGGGAUAACAGUUAGAAAUGACUGCUAACACCGCAUAAGCGCACAUUAUCGCAUGAUAGAGUGUGAAAAUAUUUAUAGGUAUAGGAUGGGCCCGCGUCUGAUUAGCUAGUUGGUAAGGUAACGGCUUACCAAGGCGACGAUCAGUAGCCGGCUUGAGAGAGUGAACGGCCACAUUGGGACUGAGACACGGCCCAAACUCCUACGGGAGGCAGCAGUGGGGAAUAUUGCACAAUGGGGGAAACCCUGAUGCAGCGACGCCGCGUGAGUGAAGAAGUAUUUCGGUAUGUAAAGCUCUAUCAGCAGGGAAGAAAAUGACGGUAGCUGACUAAGAAGCACCGGCUAAAUACGUGCCAACAGCCGCGGUAAUACGUAGGGGGCAAGCGUUGUCCGGAAUGAUUGGGCGUAAAGGGCGCGUAGGCGGCCCGUUAAGUCUGGAGUGAAAGUCCUGCUUUUAAGGUGGGAAUUGCUUUGGAUACUGAAGGGCUUGAGUGCAGGAGAGGUAAAUGGAAUUCCUAGUGUAACGGUGAAAAUGCGUAAAAAUUAGGAGGAACACCAGUGGGGAAGGCGACUUACUGGACUGUAACUGACGCUGAGGCGCGAAAGUGUGGGGGAGCAAACAGGAUUAGAUACCCUGGUAGUCCACACUGUAAACGAUGAAUGCUAGGUGUAGGGGGUAUCGACCCCUUCUGUGCCGUAGUUAACACAAUAAGCAUUCCGCCUGGGGAGUACGGCCGCAAGGUUGAAACUCAAAGGAAUUGACGGGGGCCCGCACAAGCAGCGGAGCAUGUGGUUUAAUUCGACGCAACGCGAAGAACCUUACCAGGUCUUGACAUCCAGUUAAACUUGUAGAGAUACAUCGUGUCUUCGGACAAACUGAGACAGGUGGUGCAUGGUUGUCGUCAGCUCGUGUCGUGAGAUGUUGGGUUAAGUCCCGCAACGAGCGCAACCCCUAUUCUUAGUAGCCAUCAUUCAGUUGGGCACUCUAGGGAGACUGCCGUGGAUAACACGGAGGAAGGUGGGGAUGACGUCAAAUCAUCAUGCCCCUUAUGUCUUGGGCUACACACGUGCUACAAUGGCUGGUAACAAAGUGACGCAGAACGGCGACGUCGAGCAAAUCACAAAAACCCAGUCCCAGUUCGGAUUGUAGUCUGCAACUCGACUACAUGAAGCUGGAAUCGCUAGUAAUCGAAAAUCAGAAUGUCGCGGUGAAUACGUUCCCGGGCCUUG
Molecule: ribosomal RNA, 1347 nt
Filed under: uncultured bacterium
Lineage: Bacteria
Description: bacterial SSU rRNA
Rfam family: Bacterial small subunit ribosomal RNA
Source: RNAcentral